AACCUGCUGGGUUUUUCUUCUGGGACCUUUUACAGGGGAAUGUUCCAGCAUCACUCGGCUCCAUCCAUCCAUGGAUUCCUCCUCCAUGGUUCAUCCAUCCAUCCAUCCAUGGAUUCCUCCUCCAUGGUUCAUCCAUCCAUCCAUGGAUUCCUCCAUGGUUCAUCCAUUCCUUCAUCCAUCCAUGGAUCUGUCCAUCCAUCCAUCCAUGAAUCUGUCCAUCUCUCCAUGGAUCCACCCAUCCAUGGAUUCCUGCAUGGUUCAUCCAUCCAUGGAUCCAUCCACCCAUCCAUGGAUUCCUCCGUGGUUCAUCCAUCCAUGGAUCCAUCCAUCCAUCCAUGGAUUCCUCCUCCAUGGUUCAUCCAUUCCUUCAUCCAUCCAUGGAUCCAUCCAUGCAUCCAUGGAUUCCUGCAUGGUUCAUCCAUUCCUUCAUCCAUCCAUGGAUUCCUUUAUUCCUUCAUUCAUCCACGGAUGUGUCCCCCACCCUUCCUUCCAUCCCUUUGUCCAUCCAUCCAUCCAUGAGUCUGUCCACCUCUCCAUGGAUCCAUCCAUCCAUCCAUCCAUCAUCCAUCCAUCCAUCAUCCAUCAUCCAUCCAUCAUCCAUCCAUCCAUCCAUCCAUCCAUCCAUCAUCCAUCCAUCAUCCAUCCAUCAUCCCUCCAUCCCCCCUUUUCCUGGAUUCCCCUCCUCAGGAUCCCUGAGCUCACCCACCAAAGGCUCCCAAGGGCUUUAGGAGCAAAGUGGCUGCUCCGACCCCAAAUUCUGCUGGAAAACAGAGACGAGAUCCCAGGGAACGGCUGGAGAUGUCCCUGAGGGGAUUUAGGUUGGAUUUAGGGAAAGGUUCUGGGGUUUUUGGUGCUUGGGAACAUUCCCAAGGCUCCAGAGCUCCAGGAAGGUUUGGACACCACUCCCAGGGACGCUCGGGGUGGGAUGUUCAGGAUCCUUGAGGAUCCUUCCAGGAUAUCCCAGGUGUGCUGGGAUGAGCUGAACCACCCAAAAUCCAGGCUGGGAGAAUUCCAAUGAGGAGAUGGACACAGUUCUGAAGGAAACACCAAAACCUUCCCAAAAAACCAACCCCUGGCAGCAAGGAAGGACGGGAAAGCUUUCCCAGAGAAGCUGCGGCUGCUCUGCAUCCCUGCAAGUGUCCAAGGAGCAUCCCGGGACAGGGGAAGGUGGAAUUCCCAUCAACCCAAACCAUCCUGGAAUUCUGGAACCAACCAGGAUUCACCUCCAACUGGUUUUCCAGGCAGGAAAAUAUUUUCUUUUUCCCCUCAGGCUGGAAAAGCCGAGGCCUGGCUGGAGGCGAUUCCAGAGCAGAUCCCAGGAAUAUCCCAGGAGCUGUCGGAGC
This 1343-nucleotide long non-coding RNA is filed under the name Lonchura striata (white-rumped munia). Its description in RNAcentral is "domestica (Bengalese finch) lncRNA (ENSLSDG00000015095.1)". The record is from RNAcentral. Lineage: Eukaryota; Metazoa; Chordata; Aves; Passeriformes; Estrildidae.